UAUCAGGCAUUUUUGAAUCAACAUUUUGAACCAUUCUCAUGCCUCAUAGAAACUUUCUCCCUCCAUCUGUCAAAAAAUAGCAAUCUCUUCUUAGUUG
Non-coding RNA from Gossypium raimondii (Peruvian cotton), 97 nucleotides. The record is from Rfam. NCBI's taxonomy places the organism in Eukaryota, Viridiplantae, Streptophyta, Magnoliopsida, Malvales, Malvaceae.